AUCUAACUGGGUGUCCUCUGUAGCUGCUGGAAACUCUGGCCCAGCUGCGGGAGGACCAGCAAGUGCGUGUCUUGCUCUUCAGAAGUGGAGUGAAGGGCGUGUUCUGUGCAGGUGCAGACCUGAAGGAGCGGGAACAGAUGAGUGAAGCAGAGGUGGGGGUUUUUGUCCAGCGACUCCGGGGCCUGAUGAAUGACAUCGGCCCCCAUUGCUGUGCGGCUGGGCAAAGUAGCCAUUGACCGAGGAAUAGAGGUGGACAUUGUAUCCGGGAUGGCCAUUGAAGGGAUGUGCUAUGCCCAGAACAUUCCAACCCGGGACCGGCUAGAGGGCAUGGCAGCCUUCAGGGAGAAGCGGCCCCCCAAAUUUGUUGGCAAAUGACCCCCAUUUUAACCUUCAGCAUGGGAGAUGCAUGCCCUGAAGAGCAGGAUCCAGAAGGAAGAUUUGUGGCCGAAUUUACUUCAUCAUUUCACCUCUCCAGGCUUCCGUUUCUUCACAAGGAUGAUGAUGGAGAUAAAAUGACUGGCGUGAUGCCUGGAACCAAGGUGCUGAUCCUACCACCUACUGCUACCUUCCUUAGCUUCACCCUGGCUAGAAAUAAUCACGAGGGUUGGGUUUGCUUUGGAAAAUGCCGUCUCUCUACUUGAAUGAUAAAGAAUUAAAUUAGA
This 662-nucleotide small RNA is filed under the name Pongo abelii (Sumatran orangutan). RNAcentral describes it as "retained intron". Lineage: Eukaryota; Metazoa; Chordata; Mammalia; Primates; Hominidae. The record is from RNAcentral.